UACGUAUGGUGCAAGCGUUACCCGGAUUUACUGGGCGUAAAGGGAGCGCAGGCGGCGCGCCAAGUCUGAUGUGAAACCCCGGGGCUCAACCCCGGGCAUGCAUUGGAAACUGGCGGGCUGGAGUGCCGGAGAGGUAAGCGGAAUUCCUAGUGUAGCGGUGAAAUGCGUAGAUAUUAGGAGGAACACCAGUGGCGAAGGCGGCCUGCUGGACGACAACUGACGGUGAGGCGCGAAAGCGUGGGGAGCAAACAGG
Molecule: ribosomal RNA, 253 nt
Filed under: uncultured bacterium
Lineage: Bacteria
Description: partial 16S ribosomal RNA
Rfam family: Bacterial small subunit ribosomal RNA
Source: RNAcentral